AGUGAACGCUGGCGGUAGGCCUAACACAUGCAAGUCGAACGGCAGUACAGUAAGAGCUUGCUCUUAAGGGUGGCGAGUGGCGGAUGGGUGCGGAAUACAUCGGAAUCUCCUUUUUUGUGGGGGUUUCCGUAGGGAGACUUACGCUAAUACCGCAUACGACCUACGGGUGAAAGCAGGGGAUCUUCGGACCUUUCGCGUUUGACUGCGCCGAUGUCGGAUUAGCUAGUUGGCGGGGUUAAGGCCCACUUAGGCGAGGGUCCGUAGCCGGUCUGAGAAGAUGAUCAGCCACACUGAAAGUGAGACACGGUCCAGACUCCUGCGGGAGGCAGCAGUGAGGAAUAGUGGACAAUGUGCGCAAGCCUGAACCAGCCAUACCGCGUGGGUGAAGAAAGCCUGCGGGUUGUAAAACCCUUUUGUUGUGAAAGAAAAGCAGCAGGUUAAUACCCCGCUGUUCUGACGGUACCCAGAAAAUAAGCACCGGCUAACUUCGUG
Molecule: ribosomal RNA, 492 nt
Filed under: uncultured bacterium
Lineage: Bacteria
Description: partial 16S ribosomal RNA
Rfam family: Bacterial small subunit ribosomal RNA
Source: RNAcentral